This 521-nucleotide ribosomal RNA is filed under the name uncultured bacterium. RNAcentral's name for it is "bacterial SSU rRNA". It matches the Rfam family "Bacterial small subunit ribosomal RNA", at positions 8 to 524 of the family's 1533-position model. The record is from RNAcentral.
AGAGUUUGAUCCUGGCUCAGAUUGAACGCUGGCGGCAUGCUUUACACAUGCAAGUCGAACGGUAACGCGGGGGCAACCCUGGCGACGAGUGGCGAACGGGUGAGUAAUACAUCGGAACAUGUCCUGGAGUGGGGGAUAGCUCGGCGAAAGCCGGAUUAAUACCGCAUAAGCUCUGAGGAGGAAAGCGGGGGACCUUCGGGCCUCGCGCUGCAGGAGUGGCCGAUGUCGGAUUAGCUAGUUGGUGAGGUAAAGGCCCACCAAGGCGACGAUCCGUAGCUGGUCUGAGAGGAUGAUCAGCCACACUGGAACUGAGACACGGUCCAGACUCCUACGGGAGGCAGCAGUGGGGAAUUUUGGACAAUGGGGGCAACCCUGAUCCAGCCAUUCCGCGUGAGUGAAGAAGGCCUUCGGGUUGUAAAGCUCUUUUGUUCGGGACGAAACGGUUAAGGUUAAUAACCUUGACUACUGACGGUACCGGAAGAAUAAGCACCGGCUAACUACGUGCCAGCAGCCGCGGUAAU